AUCUCUUAUAAUUCUCAACCUAUGUGAAAAUUCAGGUCAUUAAAUGGCAGAAUUGGGGUUGGAAUGUACAUCAGAAUAAUUCAGAAACCUGUGUUCUUUCCAAUGUAUCCUGUAGUAAUACUGAAUAUUAUAAUUAUUUUAUCAAAUGUAAUGCUCAUUACACAUAAAACCUUUCUUUCUUCCCAGAAUGUCCCUGAAGGAAAAGGAAGUGUAUGUGGAGAUGUUCAGCAAUCCAAUAAAGAUGGCUGCCUUUGAAGAGAAAAAUAAAGUAAAUGAGGUAGUUGAAGUGAAUGAUGUAAGGACAUUCCAAUCAGGAAGGAGGAGUGGGAUAGCUGGAUGGUUCCAUUCCUAGCUUUUGAGAAAUCUCCAUGCAGUUUUCCAGAGUGAUUUUAUUAAUUUGAAGUCUGAAGUCUCCAUCACAAGGUAUGAGUGUACCUUUUCCCCUGAACCUUUGAAAGCUGGGAUUACAAGUGUGUGCCACCAUGC
Molecule: non-coding RNA, 486 nt
Organism: Ictidomys tridecemlineatus (thirteen-lined ground squirrel)
Lineage: Eukaryota; Metazoa; Chordata; Mammalia; Rodentia; Sciuridae
Source: RefSeq, a predicted model, not a curated record